Non-coding RNA from Labrus bergylta (ballan wrasse), 469 nucleotides. The record is from RefSeq and is a predicted model, not a curated record. NCBI's taxonomy places the organism in Eukaryota, Metazoa, Chordata, Actinopteri, Labriformes, Labridae.
UCGACGGCCGCAUCCAUAUUGGAUUUGCUGUCUCAACCUAACUUUGGAUCAACCUAGUAACAGCAGUAAGGCGGGACUGUGGGCGGGACCAAAGUUCGCCGACCGACCGACGCGACCGACGAGCUUGACGCUAGCAGCCUAGCAGGCUACUUCACAGCAUAGCUAACAACUGCUCUAUCUGCUACUGCUGUCCUGCUCCCACUCGUCCAUAACUAUAAACAAAUCCUCUGAAGUCAUGGAGUCUGUGGACAGUGAUGGAGUGUCAGCUUCACCCGCCAAAACCUACACCGUGUGGAUUAUUGGUGACAGCUGUGUCCGUCGAGGUGCCCAGAGAGCUGCAGAGACAGAGGGAAGGAACCUGGGCCUGAAGAACGUCCACAUGAGUUGGUUCGGCUGGGGUGGACUUCGCUGGAAAGGCCUCCUUCCCUUCUUUGAAAACUCACUCCGAGGGAGGUCUCCCCCGGAUGGC